This 185-nucleotide non-coding RNA is filed under the name Pseudomonadales bacterium. RNAcentral describes it as "6S RNA". It matches the Rfam family "6S / SsrS RNA". From Rfam's summary of the family: E. coli 6S RNA was the first non coding RNA to be sequenced, but its function was unknown until recently. It consists of 184 nucleotides that fold into an extended hairpin structure with a large single-stranded internal bulge. The 6S RNA specifically associates with RNA polymerase holoenzyme containing the sigma70 specificity factor. Lineage: Bacteria; Pseudomonadati; Pseudomonadota; Gammaproteobacteria; Pseudomonadales. The record is from RNAcentral.
GGCUUCCUGGAAUGUGCGCCAGUUGGUGUCGUCCUUGAGCCGUUAUAAAAAAAUAGGGGAUUCUGGCGUCGGCGCCAGUGUGCAUACCCAACGCCUUUGCCGCGGGUAGCCUUAGGUACCGCCCGGGUCACCGCCUUGAACCAAAACGGUUCAGGGCCAACCAAACAGCGGCAUUCCGGUGGCAA